CGAACCCUCUUUCUAGUCCCUCCUGCUGCGCAGCCCGACUCCGAUUGAGUUGUGAGUGUUGUGACUUGUUGCCAGGUGCCAUCGAGUCCUCAAUACCAAAAUCGACCUCCGCACUCCAUCAUUGCCCGACACCACUGUGUGAGCCUCUCUCUCUCUCUCUCUCUCUCUCUCUCUCUUUUACUUCAUGAUUAUGAUGGAUAUGUGAAUAAUUAAAAUUUAAGAGGCUGGGAUAAUGGGGAGAAGCAUAAUUUGAUUUAAGGUGAUUUUCUAUGGGUUUAUGUGUUUUCUUCAAUUUGAUUUCUUUACUCAGGCUUCAGAAGUUUUAAAGGAAUGUGCACGAAUUUUAGUGGUGCUUGAGUGUAUGGGUUUUGAAUCUUCUGUUGGAAUUAUAACUGGAAGCUUUGAUUUUUUUUUGCUUUUGUUCUAUUUGUUGUUUGGAAGUUUAAAUGAUUUUAAGGCUCAUCGAAUGGAAAAGCUUUUGAUCGCUGAUGUGGUUAUGCUUACUCUAAUUUUUUAUGUUCUAGUAGAGUUGAACUAAGAAUAAAUGAUAGUAUCUUGAAAUGAAAAUAAUGAAAAUGACUACAGCUGGGAUGAUUUUAAUAUGUUCUUCAAUAUCUUAUUUGCAUAAGAAUGCAGUUUUUUGAGCUCAGGAGGUUGUAUCAUGCAUUUUUUUUUUUAUAGUAUCAUGUUGUAUUGGAUUAUAUUUUCAUAUUUAUAUGAUUUUAAGUUUUUUUCAUAUUUAUAUAUUGAUUGAAGAAUUUUUAAUAUUGUUUUAUUAAGUAUUAAUAAAUGAUGUUGCUAUUGCUGUCAUCGACGAUUGACUAUAGACGGUCAGCGACUAAACUAUUGCCCUAGCUCACUACAAUUUCUGGAUUUGCCACUGAUGGAUAACACUUGAUAGGUUUAAUUAAAAAAAUCACAUGACAUUGCAUUUAAGUUAAUCAAUCAUUUAAUGUCAUACAGUUGUCAUUUAGAUUGGUGCUUAAUAUCAAGGUGCUGAAUAGCAUUACUCAUAAUAAAAAGGAGAGAAAAUUAUGGAUUGGAAUCUAAACGUUUGGCAAUAUGCAUACAAGAAUUCAAUUGCCAUGUCCAGGCAUAGGUUCAUCUCAAUAACUAUCCACCGCCGAAGCAUGAUUCACCAUAAAUGAACAUACGCACAGGCAAACUUGAUGCUAUUCCCCCAAAUUUACAUAAAGCUAUUCCACCUCGUCCCAGCCACCAUACUAGGUGCUUAUACGUAUAAAUUAUUGUACUUGUAUCUAUUUAAAUGCAAAUGGAUUGUUCAAUUUCUUUCAAGGGUGGGUCAAAGAGAGUUUCUAUGAAGUUUGCACCAAGGUUUAGAUUUAGACCCUCAGAUAUCGACCUUGUUUCUUACUACUUGAAGAAGAAAAUUUUGGAUCCCCCAAUUCGGAAUAUAUUACCCACUAUUAAUGUUUAUGGAGGUAAACCCUACGAUCUUCCUCGAGGUAAUUAAUUUCCUGAUUGAUUAUGUUGCAUGUUAUGAAUUAUGAAUUGUUUGUGUAACUAUAUGCCGGUUAUAGUUGAAAUCUUUCAAUUAUUUGUUUAGAUGACUCAAUGGAUACAUGCAUGAAUUUCGUGUUUAUUUGUAUUUCAUAUUUGUAUUGUGAGAUACCCCUAUUUGGUGUAGCUAAAAAUUAUAUUUUUAGUAAAUUUUUAUACACGAAGUUCCAAAGCGUUGGUGUGAUUCGGUUUGAGCAAUGGAUCCUGACACGAUACAUCAUCAUAAUAAAAAUAAAGUGGAUACGUGAGUUGGCUUUCAAGUAAAUAUACAAUAAGCACUUUGAAUUGUCUCUUUAAAAAAAACUACUAUAACUAUAAAAUUAGAAGAGAAAUUCUUAGGAAAUUCUUGACUCCUCGAAGCACGUAAUAAGGUGUUUAAAGAUAAAAUUUAAAUAAAUAAAUUUGUUAUUCGUAUAGCUUAAGCCUAAACCUUUUAGAUAUGAAGGUUCAAUUUGGUAUUAGAGUACAGCUAUAUUAAAGGCUCAAGUAUUCUCGUCAUCCGUUUGUGAAAAUGGAUCAAAUUUAAGGCCUUGGAUAUUAAAGGCAUGUUUGACAACCAUUAAUUUAUUUUAUAGUUUGUUACAGGAUCAUUAUUAAUCAUACAUUCACACAAUAAAAUAUUCUACACAUAUGCCAAAAAAAAAAUUCUACUUUCAAACACACAUUCUCCUAGAAAUUCAAAACUUUUUUUCUACAAUAAUGGUUGUCAAACAGGCUAUAAUUGAAUCCAGCCUCGUAAAUGGGGUAUGUUAAAGACUAAAUUGAAAUAAAUAUAAGUGUUCUCCUAGACAUAAUGACUCAAGCUUUUAGAUGGUGUGGUUUCAUAAGAACUCCGAUUUAGAUCUGAUACUUCUGUUAAUAGAAAUUCCAGUUCCAAUUCUCAAUUGCAUGCAUCCAAUGUACCUGAAAUUUCAUAUUACAUUGCACUCUUGCAUGCUUUUAACCAGCAUGAGUUCAUCUCUUCGAUCGCAAUUUUGAUUUUAGUAUCUGACUUCACGAUUUCUGCGUGUUCUUGUUUGUUAUUGGCCAGUAAAACUUUGGUAAUUUAUUUCUCUUUGAUACAGAGAUAAAUCCAUUGAAAGGCGUGAGAGAUAAGAAGAAGUUGCUGAUAACUCAGUUGACUCGUAAGUUUUGUCCACUACACUAUUUAUCAAGUGACCCAAGUUAGCCCAAGUUGAUGCAGAUGAGAAACGACCCAUAUGACUUAAAGGAGCCGCAUCUUGAAUAUCCGUUUCAGGAUGACAGGGGUCACUCUUGUUAUGACUUCAUACUCAGCCAUCCAUGUUGCUCCAUUAAAUUUCUAAAAGAGAAUGCUUCUUUUGACUUAGUCUCAACUUUGAACUUCAAUAUUGCUAUUUUCUCUAUAGGAGUGACAUGUAUUCAAAUUCAAGGGAUAAAAACAUUUUGUUCCGUUGGAAAAUUAGGUUGUGAGUCGUCCAUAUAGGCUGACUCAACCCGCAAGGUAAUAAAGUGAGUUGAAGGGAAUGAU
Molecule: long non-coding RNA, 3010 nt
Filed under: Olea europaea subsp. europaea
Lineage: Eukaryota; Viridiplantae; Streptophyta; Magnoliopsida; Lamiales; Oleaceae
Source: RNAcentral